CUGACCUGGAAGGGCACCUCCAGGCUGGCCUGGUUGCAGGAGAGUGGCUCUGGGGAAGCUGCCCCCAUCCAGGGCCUUUGCAACAUGGCCCCAGGGCUUCUGCAGGGUGGCUCUGUGGCCUCCCCUGCGGCCCCUCCUCUAGGAACCUCCAGCGCUCUGGCCUGCCUGGGUUUCCCCCUCCUCUGGCAGACCCUGCCACAGUCCUCGGACUUCCACGUUCUCAGUGGUUGUGGAGUCUCGCGUUUUGGUUGCUGUUGUGACAGUGUCCUCCUGUCCCCUAGACACCUCCUGCUCUGCCCCCGGCACACCGUGGGCCAGGCUGGGUGCUGGCCAUCACUGCGGUCUCUGUGGUUGUGCGGGGAGGCCAGCUGCUCAUCUUCCUGCUAUUGCUUGCAUACACUGUCCAGAUGGUGGGAUGUGCUGGCCUCGGCCUGGGCCUGGUGCUAGACCUUGACCCUGACCCUGGGGACAGGUGGGCUGGAUGCCCAUGUACCCUCUGCACUCACCUGGCCUCCACUUUGGGAGCUUCCACCCCUGGCAACCUGUGUGCAUGGGUACACUCUGGCCUCAUGAGGUUCCAUUUCUGAGAGACCUGCUGGGUGGACACCGAGGCCUAGCGGGGAAGAAUCGGCUGGAGAUCACACAGUCCACUAGUGUGCGAGCCUGGUUCUGCCCAGACCCCCUGCUUCUCAGCCAGGGAGGCUGAGCAGAAACACACGCAUGUGCGUAGAAGGGACCUUCUAGAGGUGAGCUCAGUGGUCUCCUGCUGUUGGAUGCUUACCCUUCCGGAAUGUUCUGGUGCUCUCAUGCUCUUCCUGACACUUGGAGACAUCACAGCUCACUCGCCUUCCAGCCAAGCCUGGGCCCUCUUUCCCAGACAUUGUCCAUGGAGCUGUCCAUUCUUUCUGUCCCUGGCUCUGGACCCCUGAUCGGGCAGGGCUGCUGGGCAUGCCGGCUCUUCUCCUGGGGAUCUCACUGGUCGGGCCCCCGUGCGCCUUCUGCCCAACCUUUUCCAAGUAUUUCUCCCAAGCAGAGAGUCAGAACGGGAACUGCUGGGCCACAGGACCUGUGCCUUGGGGGUCUUAGCUUCCAGGGAACCUGACAGGGCUUGGGGCCUCCGAGCAGGAGGGUGUGAGGACCGUCUGGGUCCCAGGACACUCUUCUCCCAGCAGAAGUUGCCACCUGGUGAGUGGACUGGGCGGUCUGUUUCCUUCCAGAAACUCUGCCACCAAGCAGAUGGCUCUGCCUCAGACUGUCCUCUGCACCAGGGACCCUGAUGAGAGGGAGGCGGCAGACUGGUGCCUGGCAGGGACGGAAGGCUCC
This 1323-nucleotide long non-coding RNA is filed under the name Marmota monax (woodchuck). The record is from RNAcentral. Lineage: Eukaryota; Metazoa; Chordata; Mammalia; Rodentia; Sciuridae.